This 253-nucleotide ribosomal RNA is filed under the name uncultured bacterium. RNAcentral's name for it is "partial 16S ribosomal RNA". It matches the Rfam family "Bacterial small subunit ribosomal RNA", at positions 524 to 776 of the family's 1533-position model. The record is from RNAcentral.
UACAGAGGGGGCAAGCGUUGUUCGGAAUUACUGGGCGUAAAGGGCGCGUAUGCGGCCUGCUAAGUCGAACGUGAAAUCCCCGGGCUCAACCCGGGAACUUCGUCCGAUACUGGCUGGCUUGAAUCCGGGAGAGGGAUGCGGAAUUCCAGGUGUAGCGGUGAAAUGCGUAGAUAUCUGGAGGAACACCGGUGGCGAAGGCGGCAUCCUGGACCGGCAUUGACGCUGAGGCGCGAAAGCCAGGGGAGCAAACGGG